CUAUAGGAACCCACAUGACGUAGGUGUUUCGUGACUGGUAGCUACGUCCCUUGCCAAAUUUCCGCAUCUUGUGUCCCCGCCAUAUUUAAAAAACCCGGUUGCACAUACGGACAACAACAGAGCAUGCGAUUAAUGGACAGUCAAAGCUUCUCUGACGGUCUACGCCACAGAGGAUUUUCAGAGGGGUUUUGAAGGUUCGCCCCGGAAUAUAAAAAUAUUCCUACGAUCAGCUCUCAGUCAGAGAAUGCGGGGCUUUAUCAGGACGCAAAGCAGCUCCUGGAGAAAACUCACACAAGACUACAAAUAAAUUAAGGACCACAACAACUGGAGUGUGAUCAACCGAAAAACCAGUAAAUGAUUUGACACCUUGGACCACCGACAUGUCUACUCAGACAACGCCGCAGCAAAGGACCCUGCGUGCGGUUUCUGGAGGCGAUUAUCCGCAGUGAAAACACCGCAAACUCAGAGGAGUUUGAAGAGACGGAGUCAAACAGCAUCCUGGAUGCUCCUGCUGCCACCAGCAGCCCUUUGCUCAUCAAUGAGCAACCAAACCAGAACCAGCGUCAACCGCCAUCAGCCAGCUGCCAGAACCCUCUGCCACCCUAGACUUGGUUAAAAAAAAUUGCAUUGUACAAGCUUCUUGUUGAGUUUUUAUAUUACAGUUAAAAAUAUUUUAUUAUAGUUGCUGUGUGUUAAGUAUCUGUCGCCACCCUCCCUGUUUUUCCAUGAAAUAGAAAAAGAGCCGACACUCUUCUGGCUGCUGUGCAGGACAAGCUGUUAGAUGCUGAACAGCAGAGGCAAAGCGAUGCAGCUUCAACAUGC
Long non-coding RNA from Melanotaenia boesemani (Boeseman's rainbowfish), 822 nucleotides. RefSeq lists it as uncharacterized. The transcript is spliced from 3 exons. NCBI's taxonomy places the organism in Eukaryota, Metazoa, Chordata, Actinopteri, Atheriniformes, Melanotaeniidae. The record is from RefSeq and is a predicted model, not a curated record.